UUGCAAAUAAACCCCUUAUUAAUAAUACCUCAUUGUCUUUUAGGGCCGCCCUAACGCCGGGCUAACGCGAGUCGCCACACAAAUAAACCUAAACCCUAGAUCCCGAUCGGUAAACGCAGCUCCUCGUCGGCGAGGCCUUUCACGAAGACAGCUAAAUCCUCUCCGCUACUCUCCAGGUGACGAUUCGAAUCCAUGGCGGAGCAUUUAGCUUCAAUCUUCGGCACCGAGAAGGACAGAGUAAACUGCCCUUUCUACUUCAAGAUCGGCGCGUGCCGUCACGGCGACCGUUGCUCCCGUCUCCACAACCGCCCCACCAUCUCUCCCACCCUCCUCCUCUCCAACAUGUACCAGAGACCCGACAUGAUCACCCCCGGCGUGGACCCUCAGGGGCAGCCCUUAGACCCGAGCAAGAUCCAGGCCCACUUCGAGGAUUUCUACGAGGACAUAUUCGAGGAGCUCGACAAGUUCGGCGAGAUGGAGUCUCUCAAUGUCUGCGACAAUCUCGCUGACCACAUGAUUGGCAAUGUCUACGUCCUCUUCAAGGAGGAGGACCAGGCCGCCGCCGCCCUCAAGGCUCUGCAGGGGAGGUUCUAUUCGGGGCGUCCCAUCAUUGCUGAUUUCUCUCCCGUGACGGAUUUUAGGGAGGCUACUUGCAGGCAGUACGAGGAGGAUAACUGUAACCGCGGCGGGUACUGUAACUUUAUGCACGUGAAGCAGAUUUCGAGGGAGCUUAGGAGGAAGUUGUUUGGGAGGUAUCGGAGGUCGUACCGCCGUGGGAGCAGGAGUAGGAGCAGGAGCAGGAGUGUAAGCCCCAGGCGCAAGAGAGAGCGAGGGGAUGUUAGGGACCGUGACCGCCAUGGGAAUGGGAAAAGAAGCAGUGAUAGGUCGGAGAGGCAUGACAGGGAUGGUGGUGGUGGUGGGAGGAGGAGACAUGGUAGCCCGAGACGUAGCAGGAGCCCUGUUGUUGUGAGAGAAGGUAGCGAGGAAAGGAGGGCGAGGAUUGAGCAAUGGAACAAAGAACGUGAUGAGGGUGUUUAAGUGUUUUUUUUUUUUGUUCUCUUCGUUUGCUGUGCUGAUUUGAUUGUCUCGUAAUGGAUAUUUGUUUUUUGUUAGAACUUGUGAGUGGCAUGAGACUGGCUUUCCUUAGAUAUAAAGUAAGUUAACUUGGUGUCCAUGGAAGCAUUCGAAGACGUAGAGAAACAAGUAUGCAUGGUCUGGUUGUGAGCAACUAUCCUGGUGGUGGAACGAGGAUGUGCAUGCCCUAAGAGACGCCUUGUGGCACAAGGCUGGACAUCCAGUGAAGAUAUCUUUUAAGAAAGAGAUGGCGAGAAGUAUCACUGUUAAGAAUCUUCUAGUUGAUGCAGGUGUUUCAAGCGCUGCUUCGGUUCUCCCAUACCUUGAGGCGGAAGUUAGGAAGGCAAUUAAAAAGCUACAUAAAACUUUUCGAAACUGUGGCUCCUCUCUUUUUGUUAGAACUUGUGAGUGGCAUGAGACUGGCUUUCCUUAGAUAUAAAGUAAGGUGAACUACUUUUUUCUUGUUUAGAAACUAGUUCGUGUGAAAUGGAUCCUUUGGUAGUUUUGUUGUUGUUCUU
This is an RNA transcript of Brassica napus (rape), 1592 nucleotides long. It is a transcript of the gene named splicing factor U2af small subunit B, with no coding region annotated. Lineage: Eukaryota; Viridiplantae; Streptophyta; Magnoliopsida; Brassicales; Brassicaceae. The record is from RefSeq and is a predicted model, not a curated record. The transcript is spliced from 3 exons.